UUUCUCCUGUCGUGGUUUGAUAUAAGAUGAUCCUUUUGUUUACAUUUACUACUGCUCUUUUGUUGUUUUCUAGUUGUUUACUAUAAGGCUUAGAUGGUACAGUAGCUUUGAGCUUACCAGUUCCACUUCGCAUGCAUUUAUUUUGUUGUUUAUGCUACCUUGCUGGCGAAUCAGGCUUGUUAUUUAUACAAGUUUGUGUUGAUUAUGGACUAUGUGAUAGUCCUGUUAAGUAAGGAGAUCUAAAUGGUCUAUUAUUUAACCCAAAGCAUGAAGCAUACAUUUUAAGCUGUCAUGAACAGAGACAGCUUUCCUGGGGACUGAUGCAGAACUUUCUGUUCUUCCUGGUUUAAAACUAAACAGAGGCUAUUUGACUGAAUAAUUUAAUUCUGGAAGUUAAGCUCAGAAAGAUGUUGGAAGCAGAGCAUCCAGAUACAAUCAAACCUCAUUAUAAUGGCAGUGUUUGUCUCAAAAUUUCAUGGUUGCUAUCGUGAAGCGGUGCUAUAUAUGUAUACUGACAAUUGACAUUUAAUUCUUAUUUAGCUGUUAUGAAACAUCAAAUGAUUAGUUUAGUGAUUUUGUACCAAGAAGAACUGUAUAUGUUAAUCAUUUAACCAAAAAUAUAGAAAGAGUAUGAAUGUAAAAAAGGCUAACACAUGUAGCCUUUCCUCGUGAAAUUAUGACUAUAACAGAUGGGCACCAUUUGAAAAUACCAUUUCUUUCCAAUUAGAUAUUCACACUAAACAUUUACUAUGUGCAUGAUAUUAAUGAUGAUCACCAUAAAUAUUUUAAUAUUUUAAUAUUUUAUUGUUAUACAAAAGAAUAUUCUGCAAAAUAUUAUGGCGCUGUAAUUUUACAAUGUGUAUAUCGUUAUAAUGAAUGAUACUAAUGUUAUAGGUAGAAUGUUGUUAUAGAGAAGUAAAAUAUAACAUGAAAAAUCGCUUUUAGAAUAAAUCAGGCAGUUAUACUGAAGCAAUGUUAUUACAAGGUUUGAUUGUAUAGGAUGAGUGUUCAUAAUUCAUGUGAUCUUCUAUCCUAGGUCAAACUUAUAUUUAAUUAUAAGUGGUUUGUAACACUUAGAAAAGAUAUUACAUGAAAAACUUAGGGUCAAAUUUCGGGUUAAAAAUGAUAAAGCAUGUGUUCUUUUUUGAGUUGAUCACUGUUAGAAUAGAAUAAGUAUUUCCUACUUAAAAUAGGAAUAGGAAUAUGAAUAAGAAUAAGAAUAGGAUUCCUAGUCAGAAACGAAUUCUAAUGUAGUGUCUAUAAAUAGGGACUCAAUGUAAAAUUUAGAUACACAAUUCAAUAUUUAUUUUUCCCAUAUAUUUCUUACUUGGUAUCAGAGAAUUGGUGAGAACUUCAAGUCACCGGUGUCAAAUUCCGGUGACGAAGGUGGGACUGAUUUGCGUUAUCUUUCGUUUUGAAGGUGUUGUGCAAAAGACAACACCGUCACGAGGCUUAGGAAGCUCAGGCGACCAAACCUCAACCAGACCCACCGGAAAAUACCCCUCCACGCUCCCCCACGCUCCGAUCAGAGGUGGAAAUUUUCUGGCGAGAUUUGUUCACGCGCCGGCGCGUGAGUGGUUCUCCAGUCACUUUUUUUUUCGAGAAUUUUUAUUUUGUUGGGGUCGCCUAGUAUUUCCGACCAGUUUUCUCUAGAUCCAAUCACCAAAAUUAGGGUUCUGGUGAUUUUCGGGCCGUUUCCAGCAAGAUUCCAGCGAAAUUAGAAUUUUCAGGCCACUGUGAGCAGAUUUCGGCAGCUUCCAAUAUUUUCAAACUAGUGUAGCACUUCUGGCAAUUUCCAGCAACAUACCAGUCUAUGGAGAAUAGACGGGCAGAGAACGUUUUGGAAAACCUCGCUCCAGGUGUAGUCAUUGUCAUAAAUCUGGACACACUCGUGACAUGUUAUAUUUUGCAUGGUCCACCACCCAGUUAUGAUCCUGUUGUUCUAAAGGAAUAUAGAGAGUUCCUUCGAUGUCGUGCAAAUAAACAACCGUCUCCACAAGUAGUUUCGGUUGAACAACCUCAUGUUUCUGCUGCGUGUAAUUCUGUUGCGGGUAAUUCUUUUACUUGUGUGUCACAGUCUAGCACUCUUGGAUCAUGGGUCAUAGACUCGGGGCUUCUGAUCAUAUCUCUGGUAAUAAAUCACUUUUGUCUGAUAUUAUUUAUUCACAAUCUCUUCCAGCUAUUACUUUAGCCAAUGGGAUCCAAACAAAACCAAAA
Non-coding RNA from Solanum lycopersicum (tomato), 2217 nucleotides. Lineage: Eukaryota; Viridiplantae; Streptophyta; Magnoliopsida; Solanales; Solanaceae. The record is from RefSeq and is a predicted model, not a curated record.